AAGGUGCGGCGCGUUUCAGGUGCCCGAAGGCGGUCCUCGCCCCAGGGUUAAACGGGAAACAGGUGCGCGCCUCCGGCGCAAUGCCUGUGCUGCCCCCGCAACGGUAAGCGAGUGCAAGGCGCAUCAACAGCCACUGGGUCGUCCCCGGGAAGGCGAUGCGUCGGAGCCGGCCACAGCCGCUCCAGCCCGCGAGCCCGGAUACCGGCCCGAGCGCGAACUGGCGG
Molecule: non-coding RNA, 224 nt
Filed under: Azoarcus sp.
Lineage: Bacteria; Pseudomonadati; Pseudomonadota; Betaproteobacteria; Rhodocyclales; Zoogloeaceae
Source: RNAcentral